GUCUCUUCGGACACCUCCGAUAAAUAGGAAUGAUAUAGAGAAGAUUAGCAUGCUCCUGUGCAAUGAUAACUUGCACAAAUCGAGAAAUAGUCCAAAUUUUU
This 101-nucleotide small nuclear RNA is filed under the name Amborella trichopoda. The record is from RNAcentral. Lineage: Eukaryota; Viridiplantae; Streptophyta; Magnoliopsida; Amborellales; Amborellaceae.